CCAAAACUCACCAAUGGUCAUCAGAUAUUGAUCAUGACCAAAAUAACAAGACCCUGGAUACCAGAAGCUGCAAUUAGCAUUUUGUCUAGUGUGACUGGCCUCUGCCUUGGAGAUAAGGGCUGGAGACAUGGAGCAACUGGAAACACGAGGACUGAGAAACAAACUGGCAGGACAACCGGAGGGAUCAAGCAAAGACAGAGAUAUUUAAGCUUGAGAGGCGAUUACUGAACAAGGAGCGUGGUUAAUUGGCAACAGGGUGCGGUUGCAGGGAAAGGCAAGUAACUGAAGUUAAACUGAGGAAAUAGGAGAAAAUGUCUGACAGACUACAUAAAGAACCAGGGAAGCAAAGACACAGAAGAUUCAUACCAAAAGGUGACAAAUCAACUCUGAAACAAGAGCUACUGGAAAACAUUAAGGGCCACUGGAGCUGGAGGACCGAGGAUGUGACAGGUUCACAUCAUUCAGCUGGAGGACUAUAUGAGGGUGGCUCGCCAGCGCUUCUACGCCUGAGUGUUUUGCCCUCUGUGGUAGUAACUACCUGGCCAAUUCUCCAGCUUGUAAUCUUGAAAAAACUCUCGUAUUUCGAAAACCUUGACUAACCUCCUGUUUCCCUUGUCCCAAGUUGACCAAGCCACGCUCCUUGCUGGAGACACCACAGAAGAAUAAUCAGAAGAAGAAUAUGGACUCUGGAUCGUUUCCCAGCUGGCAGCCGGUCCCAGCGAUUCCUCCCACCUGACCAAGCGAACACUGUCCACCCUCCAACGGCCUCGCCUGGACCACCUGAAGCUCCAGCAGACCCGGUGCUGCCAUGCUGCUUCCAGACUCUCAACCUCUUGCCCGGGUUGAUUGACCCCCACUCGAACCCCUGCCGGCCGACCAGGUUUCCACGCUCCACAUUACCUUCCUUGUGCUAAAUACAACUGGAACUGGGUAGGGAAUGGAAGGUCGCCAGCUGCACGGGAAGAGAGAGAGGCAAGUAUGGUUUCUUUCUGGGGGUGUAAUGACAAAUCAGUGAAACGGAUAAUGUUGCUUACAGGUUUGAAGGGGUGGAAGCCGCCAGAGGAAGGAAUGACAUGGAGCCAAGGAAGUAGGUGUUCCCGGGAGUCCAGGUUCCGGAGUCCGAGCUGGAUAGGAAUACACAGGUCCAAGAUCCCUCCUACGGGCCUUAACAGGACGUGGUAGUCAGAGCACAGAGAGACUUGAUCCUUGGACUCACGGUGGAGCGUGUACAGGUUCGUUCCUGGUGUGGAGUGAUCCAGAGAGUGGAGGCAGCCAGCUAACACUUGGUCCAAAGAGCUAGUUAGUGUGGCAGAGAAUCUUGGGUGAGAGCAGAGAUCUUUCCCAGCACUUGGAGUCAGGGUCUCAGGAGGCCUAGGAAGGAUCAUACAAGAAACUGGAUUACUAUACCAGACCUAACCUUUGAAGAAUUCUAAUCUACCUGGAUGUUUUGCUACUGGAGAAAGGGUUUCCUAGCCACAAGGAUUGUAUUCGGCUUACCAACACUUUGCUUCCUAAGGGACUGCUGGCGGCCAAUCCGACGGAGCUUUUCCUGGAUCAACUACGAACCACCACAAGCGAACCCUAACCCUAACCCUCUCCACCCUCCCACAUUAUAACAUCAUCAGCCAAACCUCUGAGUCACCUCAAGUUAAUCCAAGUACCUACCAGCUUCAUUCAUCUCAGUGUGCAGUUUCCAUUGCUGUCUCGCCCCUCCUGGCGGAUCAAACUCAACCCCUUAUUGUCUUCCGGUUCCAGCUCCACUCCCACUACCUGUUCCCUGUAAAAUAAACCUUUGUAAACAUAA
Molecule: long non-coding RNA, 1804 nt
Organism: Girardinichthys multiradiatus
Lineage: Eukaryota; Metazoa; Chordata; Actinopteri; Cyprinodontiformes; Goodeidae
Exons: 7
Source: RefSeq, a predicted model, not a curated record